This 748-nucleotide long non-coding RNA is filed under the name Olea europaea subsp. europaea. Lineage: Eukaryota; Viridiplantae; Streptophyta; Magnoliopsida; Lamiales; Oleaceae. The record is from RNAcentral.
GAAAAAUAGGAGGAAAAUUGGACCCCGUCACUUGGGCCAUUUUUUUAUUUUGUCGUUGGGCUGAUUUUCUUCACAAUGGGCCUCUUUUUGCUUAAACAUUGUAGGCCCAAAUCAAUUACCCAAUGAAUUGUCUUGGUCCAUAAAUCAUAAUCCAUAUAAUUUCAUUUUCCUUUCGACUCCAAAUUUCAUUUUCCCCCAAAUCUUGAAACUGUGAAAGCUAAAGGAGUGAAAGGCGAUUGGGGCGAUUGGCGAAGCUGAAGGAAGGGACUGGCGAUUGGGCGAAUGUGAGCGUGAGGAGAUGAGGAGGAGGAGUCGUGAUUGCAGCGAACUCAAUGAUGGAAAUAAGAAAGGUAGUAAUGGUUUAUUAUCGUCUUCUUCUAGAGAGCCAAUUUGUGAUGAAAUGCUGGAAGAUUGGCUUGAUCCUCACAUUUUGACUCAAAUUCCGGAUCUUGGAGGUGAUUGGCUUGCUAAUAUUUGAAUAUAUCUAUUUUCUUAGCCAAAUAUAUGUGAUAAAAAGAACUUAACUAAUUUCUAACAUGUUGUGUAGUUAAAUAAGUGUGUACCAGUGGAUAUUCUUUGAAGAAAAAUGAUGACUGUUUGUCUUUGCUUUUUCUUGAAUUAAUUUUUUUUCUUAUCUCUACCAAUUUUACCUCAAUAUUUCAAAAUUAUUUCUUGUUUUGACACGGUGAAAAGUUAAGUUCAAUUCGUAAAAGGAUUUUGACAGAGAAUUCUAUAUACAAGAAAUUUA